This 492-nucleotide ribosomal RNA is filed under the name uncultured bacterium. Its description in RNAcentral is "partial 16S ribosomal RNA". It matches the Rfam family "Bacterial small subunit ribosomal RNA", at positions 29 to 507 of the family's 1533-position model. The record is from RNAcentral.
AGUGAACGCUGGCGGUAGGCCUAACACAUGCAAGUCGAACGGCAGCACAGUAAGAGCUUGCUCUUACGGGUGGCGAGUGGCGGACGGGUGAGGAAUACAUCGGAAUCUACUUUUUCGUGGGGGGUAACGUAGGGAAACUUACGCUAAUACCGCAUACGACCUACGGGUGAAAGCAGGGGAUCUUCGGACCUUGCGCGAUUGAAUGAGCCGAUGUCGGAUUAGCUAGUUGGCGGGGUAAAGGCCCACCAAGGCGACGAUCCGUAGCUGGUCUGAGAGGAUGAUCAGCCACACUGGAACUGAGACACGGUCCAGACUCCUACGGGAGGCAGAAGUGGGGAAUAUUGGACAAUGGGGGCAAGCCUGAUCCAGCCAGACCGCGUGGGUGAAGAAGGCCUUCGGGUUGUAAAGCCCUUUUGUUGGGAAAGAAAAGCAGCAGGUUAAUACCCCGCUGUUCUGACGGUACCCAAAGAAUAAGCACCGGCUAACUUCGUG